This 3733-nucleotide long non-coding RNA is filed under the name Gossypium barbadense (sea-island cotton). Its description in RNAcentral is "long non-coding RNA (GBAR_LNC017945)". Lineage: Eukaryota; Viridiplantae; Streptophyta; Magnoliopsida; Malvales; Malvaceae. The record is from RNAcentral.
UUUUUUUAAAAAUAUUUCUAUUUCAUUUCCUUUUUUAGAGAAAAGAAAACAUAGAGGAAACCCUCUGCUAGGGUUUUCUUUAAUCCAACUUCUCCUAGCCGCCGCAACCACCUCGACGGACCAGAGGUCCUCCCCGGCUCCGGUUCGGCAGCAGGUUUCUUCCUCGCAGGUAAGUAUAUCCUUUCUCUUUUCUUUUGCUAUUUCGUUUAUUAAAAAGAAAACAACCCCUAAAACAAGAAAUAAGAAAAUAGUAAAAAGAGAAAACGAAAACACAAAUUCACCUUCAAAAUCUUUUUCUUUUCUGUCACUUUCUUUUUGUAUUUUUUCUCUUUUUUAGUACAAAAUUUUUCUCCCCCCGUUGCAGAAAUCCUUUGGCCUUUAUAUAGCCCUCUCUAAAUCCUUUUACAACUAUUUUGUUGUGUAUUCGGUCAUUGCCUGUUCUUGGUUUGUUUGUAGGACGAACGUGCAUGGUGAACGCAAGGGAUCGCUGAACGUGGGUGAUUGCGACGUGGGGUGAUGGGGUCGUUGCUGCAGAUGGAGAACGUGCGGCACGCCCUAGGGCUUCUACUUCCAUUGCUGCUGAAAACAUGUUGUGGGCUAGGGUUAAUUUUGGGCCAAUUGGGCCAAAUAUUUUUAGUUGUUUUAUUUUGGUAGGCUAAAUGUUGGGACUGAUGUAGUGUGGGCUUUAGGUUUAGUUGGGCCCGAGCAAAAUUUAGGUCUUAUAGUUGGAAUUGAGGUUGUGAGCAUCCAUCUCAUCAUAUCUCCAAGUGCUAAUAGGGUAUCUUCCAAAAUUUUUAAUAGAAUGACAUGUACUUAGGAAGAUCAAGUGUGUUCCAAGUAGUAGGGACUAAAAUAUAAGUUAUGAAAACUUUUUUUUUAAUGUUCAAAUAUAGUAAUUAGCCAAAAAUCACUUAGGCACCAAAUAUAAUAUUCCUAUGUCAGGUUCUUUGGGUCGAACUAGGUAUAAGGGUGUUACAUCCUUUAUCAUUUUAAAGCACUUUAGCCUAAUGUGGUUUGGACACCACAAUAGUGGAGCAAACCCUACUAUUAUAUUUGUUCUUCUUCUUUGUAUGAAUCAUCUCGACCUUUUUGAAGCAUUUAGUUUGAUUAACAACAUUUUUGGCCUUUGCAAACACAGUUGACACCAUUGCUUUGUAAUUUUUUUCAACAUAGUGAAACCUCAUUUUCUAUGAUCUUCAAUCCCAAAUGUUAAGAUUUCAUUUAGCUUCUCAAUGCUCCAAAAAGAUGUUUAUUCCCUUUAAUUUAAAGAUAAAUAUAUUUGCUUUAUAAUUUUUUUCUUUCAUCCACAUUGUGAAUGCCACAUAAUUUAUUAUUAGUUUAUCUAAUUUUCUUCGCAUUUAACUCAAUGAGAUUUUUACAUUUUAUGAAAUGAUGAUUAUCUAUACCUUAUAUUAAAAAAAAUCCUCAAUCAAAGAUAGCCAUAUGGAGUGUAGACUUUGAUUUGAAUAAAAGUACUCUUUGAAUUCUUCUAAUUUGAGAUAACUUUUUUCUUGUUUCUUUUAGAAGAGUUUCGUAACAACUCAUUUUCAAUGGUACCGGAAACAGUGAUUUCAAAACCUCGUUCUUCAAAGUUCAAGUAAGUAAAUGUUAUUUAUUAAUAUUUAUGAGUCUAUAUAGCAUUAUAUUAGAUUUUGGUUCAAUAAAUUGAUUGAUUAAGUGAUUAACUAGGGUAUAAGGAUUAAAUCGUAAAAAUCAUAAAACUUAAUUGCUAUAGAUGUUUAUUAGUUAAAAUAUUUAAAUAGUGAAAGUAAAAGCGUUUAAGUGUCAAUUUAUCAUUAUUUAAGUAUAGUGGACGGUUUAUGAUUGAUUUAUAAAUGAAUUAUAUGUUAUUUAAUAUUAAGACUUAAGUAAAAUGUAAUAAUAAAUAAAUAAAGUUAAUGGCCACUUUCAUUUUCAUCAUUUUCUUCUUCCCACCUCCAUUGUUAAACGUUGAGAAGUUUAGCCAAGCUGUAUCCUUGCAUGUAAGUCAAAUUUGAUCUCGUUUUUCAUAAAUUUUAUAUUUUUCUCAUCGUUGUAGCUUAAUCUAGCUAACCUGGGUACUAAAUUGUAAAACUAUUAAAGAUUUUAAAAGUUACCAUUGCUUUUUGAAAUUCUUUGGAUGUUAAAUGUUAGAGUUUGAAGCUUUGUUUUGGAAUAGGACUAUUUUGUAAACUAGUUUUUGUUAGUUUUAAGUUUAAGGACUAAAAAUGUAAUGAUGCUGACUUUAACAUAUAAAUUAUAUAAUUUUUUAUUCUAUAGAUUUAUUGAAGGAUGAAAUUGAAAAUGGAAUGAAAAACGAAGCUUAAAUGUAAAAUAAAUGCUAGUUUUGGUUUUAGGGACUAAAUGGAAUAAAAGGUAAAAGUAUAAGACAAUGUUGUAAAAUGUUAUUAAAGGGGUCAUAUGCAUAUGUUUGACAUUAUAAAGUAUUUAGAGUUGAUAAUUGAAUUAAAUUAUUAUAUAGAUCAAGUAACGGAUCAACCGAUCAAUAAAUGCAGAAAAGAAAAAAUUGUUGAAUAGUCAUUGGUGUCGUGUUUGUUGCUGUUUUGGUUAGGUAAGUUUAUAUGAUACUUAUUUUGUUUAAUAUUUGAUAUGAUUGUAUCGUGUUUAUAUGCAUGUGUUAUUUGUGAAAGAAUUACUAAAACUAAUGAAUUUGGUAUUGAAGGAUCAAUUUGUAAGUUAAGGUUUUAUUGAUAAAUGCAAGUAUUAUGUAUAUGAAAACGGUGGUAAUUACAUGUUUAUGAUGAUCUAAAGGAUUGAAUGGAUCGAAUAUGGAAUUAAGAGCCAAGUGAACUUAGUGAAUGAUUAGGAUAUAAAUGACAUGUCAUUAGGGUUUAAAGUAUCAGGUACUAUGUACCGGUGAUUAUGUUAUAACAAGUACUUUGUACCAGUGUUUAUAUUGUAUCAAGUACUAUAUACCGGUGUUGGAUACCUUAUUGAUGGUUGAGAUCCAACAUUUGUUGUGGAUUCUCCACAGCUUGUGUGAGCAGAAUCGAGUAAAAGGUUAAUGUCCCUAUUUAUAGCUCGUGUGAGCAAAGAUAAUUAUAGCUCAUGUGAGCAAAUCUAUCCCGAGUAUCCGAGGUUAAUUUACUAUAGUUCUCCAGAUGAAACUAAGUUAUGAAAUCGAAUUGAGAUGAAAGAUUAUUUGUAUAGAGAUAUUAACCCUGAAUUGAGUAUGACUACUAUAAUUAUUGUGUUACUUAUAUGUAUGUGAUGAGCAUUAUGUGAUAAUGUACUAACCAAGUUGGUUAUGGCAUGAAUUGUGUAAGGUGACAAAGAAUACCAUGUUUGUAUGUUAUUUUCAAUUAUUGAGAUAUUAAAAAAAUGUUAGGUAUGUUGUGUUUAAUUUCAUACGAACUUACUAAGCUUUGAGUAAACUUACCUUUGUUUCGUUUUUCUUCCUUGUAGAUUGUUGAAAAUCGAGAUUCAGUUGGAUCAAGUUGGAGCUCACACUAUCCACAAAUUCCUUUGGUAGACUUUUGAACAUUUUGCCGAUUAUAAGUGGCAUGUAAUUAGGUGUAAAUGGUUAUAUAUAUAGUGUGAAGUUGAAAAUUAUGUUUUUUUUUAUUUUGUCGAGGAUAUAAAUGUAAUGUUUGAAAGUGAUGAUAUUAUUUUGGUUGGUUUGUAACAUGAGUUGCAUGUGUGUUUUGGUUAAUGUUGUGCAUAUUAUAUAAUGAGUUUUGGCACAUUGAAUUGAUAUUUAUGUGAGGAAUGCAUAAGUAUUGAUGUUGGGACA